UGAAAAAAAAAACCUAAUUUUCCGUAUCCAACGUUUAAUUGUCCGUCUUAUAUGAAAUUUUUUUAUAAUUAAUAUUUUAAUUGUUAUUAGAUGAUAAAAUAUGAUUAAUACUUUAUACAUGACUUAUUUUUUUAAAAAAAAUUUAAAUAAAAUGGAUCAUUAAACAAUGAAACCCAGGUUUGUUUUUUUU
RNAcentral lists this microRNA precursor (190 nucleotides) under Oryza nivara. Its description in RNAcentral is "MIR812 microRNA precursor family". It matches the Rfam family "MIR812 microRNA precursor family". The record is from Rfam by way of RNAcentral. Lineage: Eukaryota; Viridiplantae; Streptophyta; Magnoliopsida; Poales; Poaceae.